This 468-nucleotide ribosomal RNA is filed under the name uncultured bacterium. Its description in RNAcentral is "partial 16S ribosomal RNA". It matches the Rfam family "Bacterial small subunit ribosomal RNA", at positions 28 to 507 of the family's 1533-position model. The record is from RNAcentral.
GACGAACGCUGGCGGCGUGCUUAACACAUGCAAGUCGAACGGAAAGGCCCUGCUUUUGCGGGGUGCUCGAGUGGCGAACGGGUGAGUAACACGUGAGUAACCUGCCCUUGACUUUGGGAUAACUUCAGGAAACUGGGGCUAAUACCGGAUAGGAGCUCCUGCUGCAUGGUGGGGGUUGGAAAGUUUCGGCGGUUGGGGAUGGACUCGCGGCUUAUCAGCUUGUUGGUGGGGUAGUGGCUUACCAAGGCUUUGACGGGUAGCCGGCCUGAGAGGGUGACCGGCCACAUUGGGACUAAGGUACGGCCCAGACUCCUACGGGAGGCAGCAGUGGGGAGUAUUGCACAGUGGGCGGAAGCCUGAUGCAGCAGCGCCGCGUGCGGGAUGACGGCCUUCUGGUUGUAAACCGCUUUCGCCUGUGACGAAGCGUUAGUGACGGUAAUGAGUAAAGAAGCACCGGCUAACUACGUG